RNAcentral lists this long non-coding RNA (282 nucleotides) under Mytilus galloprovincialis (Mediterranean mussel). Lineage: Eukaryota; Metazoa; Mollusca; Bivalvia; Mytilida; Mytilidae. The record is from RNAcentral.
GUGGUAUGGGUGUCUUCCUCCAUCUUGGAUUGUAAAAAAACGGGAAACAAAGGUCCAGAUUUUCUAUCAAGUUAGCAAAAUUUGAUGCAGGAAUGCAGAUAUUAAAUGUGAAUUUUCAUUGAAAAGAACCAAUUUAUAAUAAUACAACUUAUAAAUAUUAAUACUUUUGCAAAUAUUGAUUAUUUUUUGUUGUUUAUUUUAAGGGGAGGUAACUCUAAAACAGUGCAUUUUCUGAAGGAUUCUACAUGGAAUUUUCCUAUUUUGAAUUUUAGCCGGAAAAAA